RNAcentral lists this small RNA (575 nucleotides) under Pongo abelii (Sumatran orangutan). RNAcentral's name for it is "processed transcript". Lineage: Eukaryota; Metazoa; Chordata; Mammalia; Primates; Hominidae. The record is from RNAcentral.
GGCCUGGCUGCGCUUCACCCCAGCUCCCUACUGCGCCACUGGGGAUGCCACGGAUUUAAGAAGCUCUGGCACUUAGAGGUUACAUUCCUUUUGGGACGCCAAUUGUAGUCGGUCUUCUCUUGCCCAACCAGACACUGGCAUCCACUGUCUUCUGGCAGUGGCUGAACCAGAGCCACAAUGCCUGUGUCAACUAUGCAAACCGCAAUGCAACCAAGCCUUCACCUGCAUCCAAGUUCAUCCAGGGCUACCUGGGAGCUGUCAUCAGCGCCGUCUCCAUUGCUGUGGGCCUUAAUGUCCUGGUUCAGAAAGCCAACAAGUUCACCCCAGCCACCCGCCUUCUCAUCCAGAGGUUUGUGCCGUUCCCUGCUGUAGCCAGUGCCAAUAUCUGCAAUGUGGUCCUGAUGCGGUACGGGGAGCUGGAGGAAGGGAUUGAUGUCCUGGACAGCGAUGGCAACCUCGUGGGCUCCUCCAAGAUCGCAGCCCGACACGCCCUGCUGGAGACGGCGCUGACGCGAGUGGUCCUGCCCAUGCCCAUCCUGGUGCUACCCCCGAUCGUCAUGUCCAUGCUGGAGAAG